Molecule: ribosomal RNA, 423 nt
Filed under: Drosophila acanthoptera
Lineage: Eukaryota; Metazoa; Arthropoda; Insecta; Diptera; Drosophilidae
Description: partial 12S ribosomal RNA
Source: RNAcentral
UCAUUCUAGAUACACUUUCCAGUACAUCUACUAUGUUACGACUUAUCUUACCUUAAAUAAUAAGAGCGACGGGCGAUAUGUACAUAUUUUAGAGCUAUAAUCAAAUUAUUAAUCUUUAUAAUUUUACUACCAAAUCCACUUUCAAAAACUUUUUCAUAAUUUUAUCCAUAUAAAUAAAUUUAUUGUAACCCAUCAUUUCUUAAAUAUAAGCUACACCUUGAUCUGAUAUAAAUUAUUAUAAAAAUUACUGAAUAUUAUUAUUCUUAUAAAAUAUUCUAAUAACGACGGUAUAUAAACUGAAUAAUACAAAUUUAAGUAAGGUCCAUCGUGGAUUAUCGAUUACAAAACAGGUUCCUCUGGAUAGACUAAAAUACCGCCAAAAUUUUUAAGUUUCAAGAACAUAACUACUACUACUUAAGUAUU